CCCCCAGCCCUAGCCGCAACCCCAACCCCAUGGAGGUCGAGAUCAAGCUCCGGCUCCCGACGCGGCUGCACACCGGCGCCUCUCCUCCUUCCUCGCGCCCCGCCUGCUCCGCACCGACGCCCCCGCGUGGCCCACGCCACUGUCGUCCUGCGAUCCAAGUUCCAACUGACGCAGCCGGAUCUCGUGCGAUCUCACAGCCGCCACCGCCGCUGCCGAACUCACGGUCGGAUUUCGUGCGAUCUCACAGCCGCCGCCGCCGAACUCACAGCUGGAUCUCGUGCGAUCUCGCUGCCUCCAACGUACGGAAGUCUCUACUGUAUGGGACCGCCGCCACGGUAUGCCGCCGCGGACGUAAGAGGCUGAAGCGCGGCGGGUGGGACAGGGUGUGCGUCGUGUUGCUGGAGAACUUCCUCGAACGAACGCUGUGGUGGUGCCAUUGUCCAUUGAUCUGGACGUCGGUAGAAAAAUUGAGGGAAAUCAAAGUCAGAAGAAUUGAAAAUACUAUGCACUGUGUCUACAAAAAGUCCAAGCUGCGUAUUCCUACAUAAGGAUAAGGAUCCACGAAAUCUGGAGGACCUUCAGACUUGGCUCUUUGCUGGGGCGAAGGGUGUGAAGUGGUUUGCCACAGAUUCAGAGGCCAUUUGGUGCAGGGAACCUAUUGGAUUUACAUCUUCUACUCUCUUGACAAGGCAGUGUUCGAGGGUGUGCCUAGGUGAAACACAUGCUCUCCAUCACCCUUUCCUUCUAGAGCCGGUAUCAGGUGUGUGCAAUUUGAUGAAAUACAGAUGUCUGGUGUUUCAAUCAGUAUGUCGCAUAGUUUUUUCAUAUGUGCUUUGCUGCGAAAAAUCAACACAUCAUUUAAUUUAUUUCUCAGUUUACAUCAGCAAAUGACCCUCUACUUGGCGUCAAAUAAUGAAUGCACGUGAUCUAGGACUAUUUGCUUUGGUGCUUAAUGGAUCGCAUCAUGCAUCCUAUUUAAACUGCAAUGCUUUACAUCUAAUGUUAUUUUUUGAGUCAUGGAACAGUGGCGGUCUUGAAGCGGUGGUGCCUUUAUAUACCAAGACUGGAUACAAAAUAAGGUUGAUUUUUGUUUGCUCUGACGAUAGGGAGGCAAGACCAGGAUCACAUUCUUGGCCCCGUUUGAAGGAACGACGAUUUUCAGGAUUGACGCGGAUUGAUUUUCUUGAACAUGAAGUUAACUACAUGUGAAGCUGAAGCUAAGCCAAUGUGCUUUUCCAGAAGAAGGCCAAGGCACAUCAAUCCAACACCAACCCACCUGCUAUGGAACUAAGGGAGGAAGGAAAAAGAACAUUGCCCCUGAAGGCUCGAGACGCACAAACAGGAAGCUGAGUUCGGCAAAGACACCUUGUGCUUUCUUAAGUGGUCCGUAAUAACAAUGAGAUCAGAGAUUACUGCUCUAUUCAUUACUCUUCUAAAUCUUGUGAGUGCAAGGCAUGCAAAGUGUUAACUGAAACCCCAUGGCCUACUCGCCAUCGUCAACUUCCUCUUUGCGCUCGCCGUCAACGCUCCCAUGGGCAGAACCACAAGGGGAUGGAUGUACAUCUGUACACCCGUUAAUCUAGGGAUGAGGGGACGAGGACAAGAAGGCCACGGGUAUCAUGGUGGAGAAGGAGGACAACAAUGACAUUGAGGAAGGGCAGGCAUGCCGCUCCAUGGAAACUACGAUGACCAGUUCCUUACUCACAAUACUGGAGAUCUUCAUACAACCCCAUAUGCAACAACACAAUUUCCAUUACUUAGCAUGCAUCAUAAUGAAUCAAAUUAGUAUCUCUUUUCUUAUUUUUGGCUAGGAUGGAUUUCCGUUUCUUGUGUAUAUACAGAUUUACUACUACUGCUACAUUGUUACUCCAUUAUACUAAGAGAAUGGGACCUGGUCUGAUCCUUCCUA
Triticum dicoccoides is the source of this 1909-nucleotide long non-coding RNA. RefSeq lists it as uncharacterized. The transcript is spliced from 9 exons. The record is from RefSeq and is a predicted model, not a curated record. Lineage: Eukaryota; Viridiplantae; Streptophyta; Magnoliopsida; Poales; Poaceae.